CACGCCCUAAACGAUGUCAACUAGUUGUUCGGUGAGGAGACUCAUUGAGUAACGCAGCUAACGCGUGAAGUUGACCGCCUGGGGANACGCGAAAAACCUUACCUACCCUUGACAUGCCAGGAACUUGCCAGAGAUGGCUUGGUGCUCGAAAGAGAGCCUGGACACAGGUGC
This 171-nucleotide ribosomal RNA is filed under the name uncultured bacterium. Its description in RNAcentral is "partial 16S ribosomal RNA". The record is from RNAcentral.